GUUAGUGGCGGACGGGAGCGUAAUGCAUGGGUAACGUACCCCCGGCUCAGGAAUAGCCUUGGGAAACUGAGGGUAAUACCUGAUGAUCCCGGUUGGCCGCAUGGUUGAUCGGGCAAAGUUGCGGCGGCCGGGGAGCGGCCCAUGUCGUAUCAGCUAGUUGGUGAGGUAACGGCUCACCAAGGCGACAACGCGUAGCGGGACUGAGAGGUCGGCCCGCCUCAUCGGGACUGAGACACUGCCCGGACACCUACGGGUGGCUGCAGUAACGAAUAUUGGGCAAUGGGCGAAAGCCGGACCCAGCAAUGCCGCGUGCAGGACGAAGUCCCUCGGGAUGUAAACUGCUGUCAGGGCUUAGCAAGCGUUGAGCAGACCCAAAGGAAGCCUCGGCUAACUCCGUGCCAGCAGCCGCGGUAAUACGGAGGAGGCAAGCGUUGUUCGGAAUUACUGGGCUUAAAGAGCGUGUAGGCGGCCCGAUCAGUGCCUUGUGAAAUCCCUCGUCUCAACCGAGGAACUGCUGGGCAUACUGUCGGGCUUGAGGUCGGUAGAGGUGCCUGGAACUCUAGUGGAGCGGUGAAUGCGUAGAUAUCUGGAGGAACGCCGGAGGCGAAAGCGGGUCACUGGGCCGAUUCUGACGCUGAGACGCGAAAGCGUGGGUAGCAAACAGGAUUAGAUACCCUGGUAGUCCACGCCGUAAACGAUGCACACUAGGUAUGAGAGGUUUUGACGCCGAUCGUGCCGAAGCAAAAGUGUUAAGUGCGCCGCCUGGGGAGUACGGCCGCAAGGCUAAAACUCAAAGGAAUUGACGGGGGCUCACACAAGCGGUGGAGCAUGUGGAUCAAUUCGAAGCAACGCGAAGAACCUUACCUGGGUUUGACAUGCUUGGAUGCCCUCUGGGAAACCGGAGUAAGCUGCCUUCGGGUGAAACUUGCACAGGUGCUGCAUGGCUGUCGUCAGCUCGUGCUGUGAAGUGUCGGGUUAAGUCCCUUAACGAGCGAAACCCUUGUCGCUAGUUGCCAGCGGGUAAUGCCGGGGACUCUAGCGAGACUGCCGGUGUCAAACCGGAGGAAGGUGGGGAUGACGUCAAGUCCUCAUGGCCUCUAUGCCCAGGGUUGCACACGUGCUACAAUGGCGGCUACAAACCGACGCGAGACCGCGAGGUGGAGCAAAUCGCUCAAAACCCGCCCCAGUUCAGAUUGCAGGCUGCACCCCGCCUGCAUGAAGGUGGAAUCGCUAGUAAUCGCGUAUCAGCUACGACGCGGUGAAUGUGUUCCUGAGCCUUGUACACACCGCCCGUCAAGUCAUGGAAGCCGGGAG
This 1314-nucleotide ribosomal RNA is filed under the name uncultured prokaryote. RNAcentral's name for it is "partial 16S ribosomal RNA". It matches the Rfam family "Bacterial small subunit ribosomal RNA", at positions 91 to 1417 of the family's 1533-position model. The record is from RNAcentral.